GACAGGGUCUCACUAAAUUGCCUAGAGCCUUAUUAAGUUGCUGAGGCUGGUCUCAACUUGUGAUUCUCCUGCCUUAGUCUCUUGAGUCACUGGGAUUACAGGCAUGCACCACCAUGCCCAACCCUUGGGACUUUGUGGGUGGAUAAUCAUGUUAUCUGUAAAAACUUUUUUUUUUCUUUUUCCCUGCCAAUCUGUAUACCUGUUACAGCAACUGCAUUGUGACAUGGAGCAGCUCUCUCCAAAGUUAGGUUUGUUUUUCAUGAAUUGUGACAGUAGCCCCUUUGAUUCCAAAAGGUGAGGAAUGGGGUUUAUUGUGAAAUCUAGUACAGAAAGAGUAGUCAGUAGAAAGUCUAGAACAGAAAGAGUAGUCAGUGUUCAUAUUAUACAGGGGAAGUUCUGCCAGCAGGAAGUUUAAAAGAGAUGGUGGGAGGGCACAUGCACUUGGGAUCCACAGGGGAACUUUGUCAGGAUUGUGAAGGAGGCAGUAGACAUGGGAAGGUGAUGAGGCUUAUGGAUUGCUUACACUAAGUCAAAGUGUAAGUUUCCUAGAAUUGUCACGGUUCACCCCUAAUAUUUGGGUCAGUACUACAAUCUCAGGUUUCCUGUGAACAAAUAUGUAUUGGAGAAAGGUGAAGUUUGCAAAUUGACCCAAAUUAAUUAGUGACUUAGGUUUUAAAAAACUAAAGAGGGCAUGAAUUGUUACCAUCCAAAACCAAAUGGGACAAGUUAAGGCUUGUUUGAGAGAUCAAAGCAAAGAGAGCCAAUACUUAUUGCUUGAAUGCAUACAGCUGCUUUAUCAUGGACCAAAUUUUGCAUCCAAAUUUGAUAGAGGUAGGUCUCUGGACCUUGUUGUAUGUCAUGGUAGUUUAGCCAAGGUCAAAGUCUUAUCAACAUUUCUAAUGUCUUAUAUGAUGGCUUCAUAAGUUUCUUUCUUUAGUACAGUAUCAUCACUAAUUCCAUAGCUGAGUGUGUGGGGAUAUACAGGCCCUUGAUUGUCCUUUCUCCAUACAUUUUGAACAGUGGAGGGCUACAGAAAUAGCCAAUAGGUAUAUAUAAAAAAAAAAAGUAUGUGUAAAAUGGGAUCCCUCAGAUAAAUGUAAAUUGUAGUUUUGGUGGAUAAAUUGGGACAGUAUAAAAUAUUAAGCUCGAUCAGUAGCUUUGAAGCAAUAUCAGUAAUAUUUGGUAAGGGGCCUUAACUGGAGAUAUUAUAGGGAUUAUGAAUGUUAUGAGGUAUUCAUUUUUACUCGUGUUAAGGGUAGGCCAAAUAGGGCAACUGGAAGGAAAAAAAGGAGACAAGGAUUCUUUUUGCAAUGAAAUUAUUAAAAACAACACUUAAUUCUUUCAACCUUCUUUGUUCCGACAACAUGAGGUGUUCAUAAAUUUAAUAGGUCAUUGUUUAAUAGCACUAGCAUAACCGUUUGUAAAGGGAUUGGCAUUGGAUUUCUGCAGUCUUUCUUACUCCCAACACUUUUGACAAAAUAUGUAGGGGCUUUCUAUACCACUUCUCCAACUCUGACACCAAGUGGGUGUGUAAUGAAAUGAUUUAUUUCAUUUCUGAUAGUAAGUACCUGGUUAGCACCAGAUCCCAAAGAUUAAGGGCUCAUUCCCAUAAGACUCCCCCAACUGAGAAUCCAGCCUUGAAGUCCCAGGCCUCUUAGUUCUGACCAACUAGCUCCCUCCUUGGAUGCAAGAAUUUCCUAGAAUGAUUUGCAGAACUCAGGAAUUCCUGAGUUUAAUUUCUCUUGCCAAUCUAUUACAACAGAUAAAACAGCCACAUGGAAGAGGUACAUAGGGUGAGGUACCUGGGAGUGCCGGAGGCAAUGCAGCGUUUCCAUGCCCCUUCCAAGAGCAUCCCUCUCCCAGCACCUAUCAAGGUGUAGUGUUGUAGUCACCAACUUGGAAGCUCUUUGAACUCUCAAAGGGGUUUUUAUGGAAAUUUCACUAUGUGUGCAUGGCUGAGGAAAUUUACCCUUAGAUUGAGCUCCAUCUGUGCCCCCUCUUCCCCUUCUGAGACAUCAGUAGUGAGUGGGGCUCAUGGUUCCAACUCUAAAAAUGUUGUAGAAUAAGAAGUGUUGCUUUCAAAAUGUUCUGAAUGUGCCGAUAUCUCUUUGUUUUGUUUUGUGGUGCUGGGGAUUGAACCCAGGGCCUUGUACAUAAGAGGCAAGUACUCUACCAACUGAGCAAUAUCCCCAUCCCUGUAUGGAUAUCAUUUCUUUAUACACUUAAAAAGGCUGCUUUUGUGAAUUACAUAUAAAAAUACAUUUUUUUUGUUGUUGUUUGUUUUGUAGUGGAGAGUGAACCCAGGGCCUGGCAUGGGCUAGGCAAUCAUGCUACCCCUGAGCAUGUUUUCUAAACAUUAUGUUAAAAAUACUUUUCAUGGGCUGGGAUUGUGGUUUUGUAAGCGCUUCUCUAGAACGUGUAAGGCACCAGGUUCCAUCCUUAGCACCAAAUAUAUAUGAAAAAAAAAUUCAUGACCUUAAAAAAAAUUUUUUUUCGUGGCCAAAAAAGAAAAGGAACAACCAGAAAGUAAAAAAGAAAAAAAUAAACUGGGAGAAAAUA
Molecule: long non-coding RNA, 2559 nt
Filed under: Marmota monax (woodchuck)
Lineage: Eukaryota; Metazoa; Chordata; Mammalia; Rodentia; Sciuridae
Source: RNAcentral